This 59-nucleotide ribosomal RNA is filed under the name Diplodia seriata. RNAcentral's name for it is "partial 28S ribosomal RNA". It matches the Rfam family "Eukaryotic large subunit ribosomal RNA", at positions 1 to 58 of the family's 3401-position model. The record is from RNAcentral. Lineage: Eukaryota; Fungi; Ascomycota; Dothideomycetes; Botryosphaeriales; Botryosphaeriaceae.
GUGACCUCGGAUCAGGUAGGGAUACCCGCUGAACUUAAGCAUAUCAAUAAGCGGAGGAA